AUUCCGUUUGUUACCGGAGAAGGUAACGGUUCGGUGACUACAGCGGUUGGAUCGAAGUCGUCUGAUAAGAUGUCGAGUUUUUCGAUUAAGCUGGCCAUUGUUAGGGAUUGAUCAGAUUCAAAAGCUCCAACCAUUGUAAUAAAGGAAUCUGGUGGAAUCUGUAGAUCUGAGAGAUUGGAGGAGAAGCGGUGAAAAUGGUGGGACAAAGAGAGAGAGACACACACACAAAACGAGAGAGAGACACACACACAAAACGAGAGAGCCGCUUCUUCGUUGAUUUAUUUAUAUAGAAGAGGCAAAU
Molecule: long non-coding RNA, 301 nt
Filed under: Arabidopsis lyrata
Lineage: Eukaryota; Viridiplantae; Streptophyta; Magnoliopsida; Brassicales; Brassicaceae
Description: long non-coding RNA (ALYR_LNC003219)
Source: RNAcentral